Molecule: ribosomal RNA, 450 nt
Filed under: uncultured bacterium
Lineage: Bacteria
Description: bacterial SSU rRNA
Rfam family: Bacterial small subunit ribosomal RNA
Source: RNAcentral
GUGGGGAAUAUUGGACAAUGGGCGAAAGCCUGAUCCAGCCAUGCCGCGUGUGUGAAGAAGGUCUUCGGAUUGUAAAGCACUUUAAGUUGGGAGGAAGGGCAGUAAGCUAAUACCUUGCUGUUUUGACGUUACCGACAGAAUAAGCACCGGCUAACUUCGUGCCAGCAGCCGCGGUAAUACGAAGGGUGCAAGCGUUAAUCGGAAUUACUGGGCGUAAAGCGCGCGUAGGUGGUUUUGUAAGUUAGGAGUGAAAGCCCAGGGCUCAACCUUGGAAUUGCUCUUAAAACUGCAAGGCUCGAAUCUCGGAGAGGAUAGUGGAAUUUCCAGUGUAGCAGUGAAAUGCGUAGAUAUUGGAAGGAACACCAGUGGCGUAAGCGGCUAUCUGGACGAGUAUUGACGCUGAGGCACGAAAGCGUGGGGAUCAAACAGGAUUAGAUACCCGAGUAGUCC